UACGAAGGGUGCAAGCGUUACUCGGAAUUACUGGGCGUAAAGCGUGCGUAGGUGGUUUGUUAAGUCUGAUGUGAAAGCCCUGGGCUCAACCUGGGAAUUGCAUUGGAUACUGGCAGGCUAGAGUGCGGUAGAGGAUAGCGGAAUUCCCGGUGUAGCAGUGAAAUGCGUAGAGAUCGGGAGGAACAUCUGUGGCGAAGGCGGCCAUCUGGACCAGCACUGACACUGAGGCACGAAAGCGUGGGGAGCAAACAGG
RNAcentral lists this ribosomal RNA (253 nucleotides) under uncultured bacterium. RNAcentral describes it as "partial 16S ribosomal RNA". It matches the Rfam family "Bacterial small subunit ribosomal RNA", at positions 524 to 776 of the family's 1533-position model. The record is from RNAcentral.